RNAcentral lists this long non-coding RNA (2512 nucleotides) under Sus scrofa (pig). Its description in RNAcentral is "lncRNA (ENSSSCG00050047968.1)". Lineage: Eukaryota; Metazoa; Chordata; Mammalia; Artiodactyla; Suidae. The record is from RNAcentral.
AAAUCAGAGGCUCCGCAGUGUGCCUGUUCUAGGGCCCAACAGCUACAACCACACCUUCACCGUCUUAGAUUUCCAAGGAAACUCUAUUUCUUACAUUGAUGGAAACACAUGGAAGGGAUUCCGUUGGGUUGAGAAACUAAUUCUCAGGGAUAAUGCUUUGACGGAGUUACAUAAGGAUUCAUUUGAAGGCUUGCUGUCCCUCCGGUAUUUGUAAGUUAAUUAGUUAAUCCUGUUUUCUUCUGAGUUCUUAUCUAGACAGUCGAUUCUGUAUAAAGUGACUGACGGGUUCAAGUUAGAUAAUCUCUACAGUUUCUACAAGCAAUAAAAUCUACAAUUUUAUAAGUCUGUGUAGGGCCCCAGCCCAUCUCUACUUAAAUGUCUCCCGUUCAUUUAAAUUUUUUAAAUGAUCGAGAUGAGAUAUAUAUAGAACAACACCCUUUAGUUGUAGAGGAAGGGUGGUAAUGAGGUCUGAGCCCUUAUAGACACGCACAGGACCCUUAGAAGUGUUCCUCUAUCAUCCACUUAUAUUGAGUUUAUGAUCCAUGGAUCAAAUCUGGCCCAUGGUCCACUGUGAUACAGUCCAUAAGUUGAGGAUGAUUUUUAAAGGCCUGGAAAUGAAAACAGGAGAGAGAGAAACAAAGAAAAAUAUGCAACAAACUGUAUGUGGAAGGCAAAUCCUAAAUAUGUACCCUCUGGCUUUUAUAGAAAAGGUUUGAAAAAGGUAGUUGAGUAAAACAAGCGGAAUUAAGGUUAUCCUCAAAUAGUUACCCAUAGGACAAGAAAAUACAGAACACUUAGAUUAAUCCAAAUGCCACGAACUCAUAAUUUUGGGAGUUUAACCUAAAUUAACUUUUAAAUAUUUAAGCAGGUGGAUUAUGUAAAUGCUAUUGUCAAGAACACAUUAAGUUACGAAGGACAGACUGGUGUGGAGGAUUUCAAUACAGGAAUUAUUAUACCAAUAUUAAAAAUGUUUCAGGUGAUGGGUAAGUGAUAUGUUUACCCUAAGGAAGCAUAUCAGAAGUGCCCCUCACUUCACUAAGUAAAAAUGAGUGUUUCUCUAGCCUCUUUGUCGAGGAGAAAAUGCUUGUAUCGUAUUUCUGUUUAUUUAGAGGUAAAGAGGUACUGUGUUCUUGGCUAUAAAAGCUCAGGUUGUGUCAUUUGUCCACAGCAUCCACAGCUGUCUAUGUCAUUAAUCAUUAGUAAGCUAAGGAAUGAUGCUCUUUAGCAACUAGAUUCUUCUUGCAAAUACAGAAGGCUUAAGUGAAUGGAAUGGGUAUACAAAGCCUCCUGUGGCCUUACGAAUAGUUCUUUGAAUGAUCAAACCUUUGAGGCCUUAAGGGGCAACCAGGGAAUACAACCACUUUUGUAUGCGUCUUGUUGAGUGCCUCUGCCAUCUGGGCUCCAAGCCUUUCAAACAUAGUUUGGAGAAAAACAAGUCUGAUAACUGCUCAGUGGAUUAGGCCCUUUAUUACUUCUACUGUGAAAUGCUUCAUAAGCUGAUGAUUUCAUGUUAGCCUAAGUGUUCUAUUUCAUUCAAAAAAUACCAGUCCAUAAAAAAUCUAAAAAAGAAUACGUCAAGCGCUGUGCCUCGUGUGGUAAACAUAAAGGUGGGGAAGACAGGAUUCCUUCUAGCAACUCACGAUCUCCUAGGAAACAUAAACAUGUGAGUGCGAACCACAGGACACAAGCACCGGAUGGAUGACAGAGCGCUGUAGAGGCACAAAAGCGGGAACCAUGAAGUAAUAAAAGCACACCUCUUUUAAAACAGUCAUUUCCCUCCUAUUUCUCUUACUUUUUCCCCUGGGAACCAUGAAGUAAUAAAAGCACACCUCUUUUAAAACAGUCAUUUCCCUCCUAUUUCUCGUACUUUUUCCCCCAGGUAUUUGUUUAUGUUGUAAAAAUUAGAGUUUGCUUUAUGUCCAUGCAUUGCCUUGAGAAAUGACAGACAAGGAGUUUCCGUCGUGGCACGGCAGAAAGGAAUCUGACUGGGAACUAUGAGGUUGCAGGUUCGAUCCCUGGCCUUGCUGGGUAGAUCAAGGAUCCAGCGUUGCCAUGAGCUGUAGUGUAGGUUGAAGACUCGGCUAGGAUCUGACGUUGCUGUGGCUGUGGUGUAGGUCGGCAGCUGCAGCUCCAGUUAGACCCCUAGCCUGGGAAUUCCAUGUGCCGCAAGUGCAGCCAAGAUAGCCAGUGCACAUGAGCAUGAUCCAGUCCAUACUUUACGGUGUUUAUGCUCAGAGGAAAUGGGAUGCAAAAAUGGCUAUCUUAAAAAGAAGAAAUGGAGGAGUUCUCAUUGUGGCGCAGUGGAAACGAACCUGACUAGGAACCAUGAGGUUGCCGGUUCGAUCGCUGUCCUUGCUCAGCGGGUUCAGGAUCCGGCGUUGCCGUGAGCUGUGGUGUAGGUUGCAGAGUUGGCUCGGACCCCGUGUUGCUGUGGCUCUGUCGUAGGCCAGUGGCUACAGCUCCGAUUAGACCCCUAGCCUGGGAACCUCCAUAUGCCGUGGGAGCGGCCCUA